Molecule: non-coding RNA, 411 nt
Filed under: Drosophila virilis
Lineage: Eukaryota; Metazoa; Arthropoda; Insecta; Diptera; Drosophilidae
Description: Eukaryotic large subunit ribosomal RNA
Rfam family: Eukaryotic large subunit ribosomal RNA
Source: Rfam by way of RNAcentral
CAACCUCAACUCAUAUGGGACUACCCCCUGAAUUUAAGCAUAUUAAUUAGGGGAGGAAAAGAAACUAACAAGGAUUUUCUUAGUAGCGGCGAGCGAAAAGAAAUCAGUUCAGCACUAAGUCACUUUGUCUAUAUGGCAAAUGUGAGAUGCAGUGUACGGAACAUCAACAUUCUAGUAUGAGAAGUUAACGAUUUAAGUCCUUCUUAAAUGAGGCCAUUUACCCAUAGAGGGUGCCAGGCCCGUAUAACGUUAAUGAUUACUAGAUGGUGUUUCCAAAGAGUCGUGUUGCUUGAUAGUGCAGCACUAAGUGGGUGGUAAACUCCAUCUAAAACUAAAUAUAACCAUGAGACCGAUAGUAAACAAGUACCGUGAGGGAAAGUUGAAAAGAACUCUGAAUAGAGAGUUAAAUAG